This 479-nucleotide ribosomal RNA is filed under the name uncultured bacterium. Its description in RNAcentral is "partial 16S ribosomal RNA". It matches the Rfam family "Bacterial small subunit ribosomal RNA", at positions 28 to 507 of the family's 1533-position model. The record is from RNAcentral.
GAUGAACGCUGGCGGCGUGCUUAACACAUGCAAGUCGAGCGAGAAGUUUUGAAAAGAUUCUUCGGAUGAAAUUUAAAAUGGAAAGCGGCGGACGGGUGAGUAACGCGUAGGCAACCUGCCCCAUACAAAGGGAUAGCAUUUGGAAACGAAUAUUAAUACCUUAUGAAACUUAACUAGUGCAUGCUAGGGAGGUCAAAGAUUUAUCGGUAUGGGAUGGGCCUGCGUCUGAUUAGCUAGUUGGUGAGGUAACGGCUCACCAAGGCGACGAUCAGUAGCCGACCUGAGAGGGUGAACGGCCACAUGGGAACUGAGGCACGGUCCAAACUCCUACGGGAGACAGCAGUGGGGAAUAUUGCACAAUGGGGGAAACCCUGAUGCAGCAACGCCGCGUGAACGAUGAAGGCCUUUGGGUCGUAAAGUUCUGUUCUAGGUGAUGAAAACUGACAGUAACCUAGGAGAAAGCCCCGGCUAACUCCGUG